UUUCCGUAGGUGAACCUGCGGAAGGAUCAUUACUGAGUGAGAAAACUCUCGAUCCAACCUCCCACCUGCGUAUAUUGUACCUUGUUGCUUCGGUGCGCCCGCCUCACCGCCGCCGCCCGGCCUCUCCCCCCGCGCCCGCCCUCGCCAAACCCACCCUUGAACUUUGAUUGAAGCUCUCAGUCUGCGCGAAAACUUAAUACGAAACAAUUUUCAACAACGGACCUCUUGGUUCCGGCAACGAUGAAGAACGCAGCACAUAGGAAAAGCACACGUCACAAC
RNAcentral lists this unclassified non-coding RNA (279 nucleotides) under plant metagenome. RNAcentral describes it as "partial contains small subunit ribosomal RNA, internal transcribed spacer 1, and 5.8S ribosomal RNA". The record is from RNAcentral.